This 949-nucleotide long non-coding RNA is filed under the name Gossypium barbadense (sea-island cotton). RNAcentral describes it as "long non-coding RNA (GBAR_LNC015014)". The record is from RNAcentral. Lineage: Eukaryota; Viridiplantae; Streptophyta; Magnoliopsida; Malvales; Malvaceae.
CCUUUUUCUCUCAAAACGACCUUUAGGCCAACCAUAAGGUCUGGUGAGCCUUUGCCGUGGCCACCGAUCAUCGACGACGGCAAUCGCAGUUUUUGGUGGCCGAAAUUCCUAAAAAGUUUUCCUCGAGCCCCUUUUUUGUGUAGAUCGUGGAUCCGACGAUAGAUCCUCCGAAAAUCCAGUCAAAAUUCGACUCGUGACCAAGAAACCUUUCGGUUUCUCUUCUCCAACGUGGCCAUCGACGAACCCUAAGGGGUUCGGAGACCUCCCUGGUUGGAGGAGGACCUCCCAGUGGUGAUGAACAGGUAAAAUUUAAACCUUUAUCUUAUUAAUUUUAAUGUUAUUCAAAAUAAAAGUAGAGAAAAAAAAAAGAAUGAUGAAUCUUAGUUUUUUUGAACUUUGCUGUUGUUUUUUUAUACUCAAUUUCUCCAGUUUCUGUCGAGGCUGUCGACGAACCCUAAAGGGCUCGGAGACCGGUCGAAUCGGCAGAGAGCCGUCGACGACAGUGAUAGGAGAUGAAGCGAUGAGGUAAUUUUCUUUUAAACCUUGUUUUUAUUUUUUUAUGCUUUUUACAAAAAAAUAGAAUAAAAAUAAAAAUAGAAGAAUAUAAAACCACUUUUGUAAUUUGUUUUUUUUCUUUGUAUUCUCUUUUGAAUUUCUUCGUCUUCUGCAGGUGGUGGUGGCGAGGAUGAGGAGGUGUUAGGCCUCAAAUGGCACACCUACUGACGCGACAAGGGCGACGACCAGAGGCUUACGGACUUUUAGGGUUGUUGAUAUUUUUUAGGUUUUAGGUUUGGGGCUUAAAUAAUUUGAGCUUUUGGGUUUUAUAUUUGGACUUGUAAUGGACUGGACUUUUAAUUAAUGGACUUAUUUUUAUUUAUUUUUGUUAUUUUUAUUUGGGCCGGAUAAAAAUAGGCCUCUACAUAGUUUACCUAUGUAUUUUACUUUUAAA